This 425-nucleotide unclassified non-coding RNA is filed under the name soil metagenome. RNAcentral's name for it is "partial contains 5.8S ribosomal RNA, internal transcribed spacer 2, and large subunit ribosomal RNA". The stretch from base 1 to 120 matches the Rfam family "5.8S ribosomal RNA", at positions 35 to 154 of the family's 154-position model. The record is from RNAcentral.
GAUGAAGAACGUAGUGAAAUGCGAUAAGUAGUGUGAAUUGCAGAAUUCCGUGAAUCAUCGAAUCUUUGAACGCACAUUGCGCCUUCUGGUAUUCCGGAAGGCAUGCCUGUUCGAGAGUCAUUAACAACCGUUUCGAUCCCUUUCUUUCAGAAAUUACAAAGAGGAAAAGGGUUUGGUUAUGGUGGAGGAGGGAAAGGGAGCGUUUAGCCUGUAAAAAAAGAGGCUGUGUUCCGCAUCCCCCCCAAAAUUGUACAGGCGGUCGUGUGCGCCCACGCAUCGAGGUGUUGUAAAAGCUGCCACGGCACUUUUCACCUGUGCAGUGCGAGAUUGGCCAGCCGGUUUAAAAACCCCUCCAAACAAUCAAAGGUUGACCUCGGAUCAGGUAGGGAUACCCGCUGAACUUAAGCAUAUCAAUAAGCGGAGGA